RNAcentral lists this ribosomal RNA (429 nucleotides) under Actinomycetes bacterium. RNAcentral's name for it is "Actinobacteria bacterium partial 16S ribosomal RNA". It matches the Rfam family "Bacterial small subunit ribosomal RNA", at positions 355 to 776 of the family's 1533-position model. Lineage: Bacteria; Bacillati; Actinomycetota; Actinomycetes. The record is from RNAcentral.
UAGGGAAUCUUCCGCAAUGGGCGAAAGCCUGACGGAGCAACGCCGCGUGAGGGAUGAAGGUCUUCGGAUCGUAAAACUCUGUUAUUAGGGAAGAACAAAUGUGUAAGUAACUAUGCACGUCUUGACGGUACCUAAUCAGAAAGCCACGGCUAACUACGUGCCAGCAGCCGCGGUAAUACGUAGGUGGCAAGCGUUAUCCGGAAUUAUUGGGCGUAAAGCGCGCGUAGGCGGUUUUUUAAGUCUGAUGUGAAAGCCCACGGCUCAACCGUGGAGGGUCAUUGGAAACUGGAAAACUUGAGUGCAGAAGAGGAAAGUGGAAUUCCAUGUGUAGCGGUGAAAUGCUCAGAGAUAUGGAGGAACACCAGUGGCGAAGGCGACUUUCUGGUCUGUAACUGACGCUGAUGUGCGAAAGCGUGGUGAUCAAACAGG